AAUACGGAGUGGCAGACGGGUGAGUAACACGUGGGAACGUGCCUUUUGGUUCGGAACAACCCAGGGAAACUUGGGCUAAUACCAGAUAAGCCCUUCGGGGGAAAGAUUUAUCGCCAGAAGAUCGGCCCGCGUCUGAUUAGCUAGUUGGUGGGGUAACGGCCCACCAAGGCUACGAUCAGUAGCUGGUCUGAGAGGAUGAUCAGCCACACUGGGACUGAGACACGGCCCAGACUCCUACGGGAGGCAGCAGUUAGGAAUCUUGGACAAUGGGCGCAAGCCUGAUCCAGCCAUGCCGCGUGAGUGAUGAAGGCCUUAGGGUUGUAAAGCUCUUUCAGCGGGGAAGAUAAUGACGGUACCCGCAGAAGAAGCCCCGGCUAACUUCGUGCCAGCAGCCGCGGUAAUACGAAGGGGGCUA
RNAcentral lists this ribosomal RNA (415 nucleotides) under uncultured bacterium. Its description in RNAcentral is "bacterial SSU rRNA". It matches the Rfam family "Bacterial small subunit ribosomal RNA", at positions 87 to 537 of the family's 1533-position model. The record is from RNAcentral.